Molecule: unclassified non-coding RNA, 329 nt
Filed under: soil metagenome
Description: partial contains 5.8S ribosomal RNA, internal transcribed spacer 2, and large subunit ribosomal RNA
Rfam family: 5.8S ribosomal RNA (bases 1-120)
Source: RNAcentral
GAUGAAGAACGCAGCGAAAUGCGAUAACUAAUGUGAAUUGCAGAAUUCCGUGAAUCAUUGAGUCUUUGAACGCACAUUGCACCCUCUGGUAUUCCGGGGGGCAUGCCUGUCCGAGCGUCAUUACAACCCUCAAGCUCAGCUUGGUAUUGGGCCCCGCCGCUUCGGCGGGCCCUAAAGUCAGUGGCGGUGCCGUCCGGCUCCGAGCGUAGUAAUUCUUCUCGCUCUGGAGGCCCGGUCGUGUGCUUGCCAGCAACCCCCAAUUUUUUUCAGGUUGACCUCGGAUCAGGUAGGGAUACCCGCUGAACUUAAGCAUAUCAAUAAGCGGAGGA